UUUCUUUCUCCUCCGCCUCUCACCCUCUCAUUUUUCUCUGUAAGAACAUGAAACCCUAUGGUGAACUGAACCCAAACCCUGUCUUCCUUUUCUAUCAUCAUAGAUCAUAUCCCCAUCAUGAACUCUUUUCUUUCAUCACCAUCAAUAGUUCUUUUAGUUGUCAUACUCAAAAUCAACAAAACCCUUAAAAACCUAGAAUCAAAAUCUGAUUUGUUUCUCAAUAAUUGAGUACAAAAUCAACUCGAACCUCACUGUCACUUCACAGAUCGAAACUCACUGUCAGCAAUCCAUGCUUUAUCCUUAACCCUUAUCUUAAAAUCGAAACCCAUGUAUCAGCGGAAAUUAAAAUGAAACUCUGUAAACCUAGGUCUAGUUUUUUUGCUCCUGAAAUUAUCAGGGUAAUAUCAAUCUUCUUCUUAUUUCAUAAAUUUUAUAAAUUUUUGUACUGUUAACAAUUUAAUUUCUCUUAUCUUGUCUCGUUUUUGCAGUAAGGUGUUUCCUUUUCUACUUUUCCUUACACAAUUCAUCAAGUUGGUUGAAGAUCUCUUCUCUUAAUGUUGAGGAAAACAUCUUUAACUUCUCAAAGAAGGGUUUAAUCUCAUCAUAGAUUGGUAUUGGUUUCAUGAUUCUCAUGCAUAAUAUGGAUCCUGUACUAGUCCUUGUAUCAUCUUACAUUAAAGCAUGUGUAUAAGAAGAUUGGUAUACAGGCUAUGAAGUCUUAUAUUUGGCUACAAACUUCUGAUGGUUCCAUCCAGCAAGUAGAAAAAGAGGUGGUUACAUUCAUCCCAAUGAUUUGUAGAGAGGUGCUAGAAAAUAGCAUGGGAUCAACUAAGAACUGCGCUAACAUCUCAAAGCAUGCCAUAUAAAUCCCGUGUGGCGCAACAUCUCCCAGGUUUGGAGCUUAUCGAAGGGGACAGUUGUAGUGAAAUUUAAUGCCUAUGAGAAUGUAAAUUUGGUAUGUGUGGUCUGAUAAGCUGCUAUCAUGUCUACAACACUUGGCCAGAGUAGUACCCACUGAAUUUCUUUGUUACUAUUUGCGUUGUAGUACUAACCUAGAUUUGGUUAGUAUGUUGCAGAACAAACUAUUAGUGUCAAUGACGAUAACAAAGUUGGAAAUGUCAGAAAGCCAUUAAUCUGUCUUAAUCAGCUCUUCUUAUUGCUUGUUAUGAUUGCUGCAUCUUCGUAUGGUUUUUUGUUGGUUAUUUGCUUAAGUUCUAAAGACUCGAACACUAUUCAGUAGAGACACAUUUAUGAGAGCUAAAAAUAUUGUUUGCCUAUUUUACUAAUUGUUUUCUACUAUGGAUUACAGGCUAUGAAGAUUGCAGGUAUCUUAUUCAUCGGGGUUCCUUGACAUGUUCAAGUAUGCCAUUUCAACCAAGAUGAAAGUGCUGAAUUUGAGUCUAGGAGGCCCUAAUUACUCAGCUCUUCUUUUUGUUAAAGGAUUCAUAAAGAAAAUAAUAUCUCAAGAACAUGGAGCUUAUAAUCUUGUUGAGCUUUUAUGUAAAGAUGGACAUGGGAGAUAUCCCUAACAUUGAAGCUGCAGUGGUUCUUCCAAAUGAAGUCAAAUAAUUCUUUCGUUUUUCUUUUUUGUUUUCACUGAAUUGUAUUGUAGAUUGUAUAAUUAUGUUUUAGGUAUAAACUUAAUUGUAUUGCAGGCCUGUAAACUGAGUACAGAUCCAUGAUGAUGAACAUGCCUGUAAACUGGGAGCCCAGGUCCAUAAUAAUGACCUAGGCUACCCAUUUUUUUUUAGUUGUA
Papaver somniferum (opium poppy) is the source of this 1756-nucleotide long non-coding RNA. RefSeq lists it as uncharacterized. The record is from RefSeq and is a predicted model, not a curated record. The transcript is spliced from 7 exons. NCBI's taxonomy places the organism in Eukaryota, Viridiplantae, Streptophyta, Magnoliopsida, Ranunculales, Papaveraceae.